AACUUUUGGCAAUGGAUCACUAGGCUCUCGUAUCGAUGAAGAACGAAGCGAAUUGCGAUAAGUAAUGUGAAUUGCAGAAUUCAGUGAAUCAUCGAAUCUUUGAACGCACCUUGCGCUCCUUGGUAUUCCGAGGAGCAUGCCUGUUUGAGUUUCAUUAAAUUCUCAACCUUAUUGGCUUUUGCUAAUAAUGGAUUGGAUGUGGGGGGCUCUUUUGCUGGCUUCUUCGCAGAGGUCAGCUCCCCUUAAAUGCAUUAGCUGGUGCCCCGCGUGGACCAUCUAUUGGUGUGAUAAUUAUCUACGCCGUGGAUGUCUGCAAUCAUAUGGGUUUUGCACUGCUUCUAACCGUCUGUUCAUUCGGACAAUACAUGACAAUUUGACCUCAAAUCAGGUAGGACUACCCGCUGAACUUAAGCAUAUCAAUAAGCGGAGGCU
RNAcentral lists this unclassified non-coding RNA (432 nucleotides) under uncultured Alnicola. Its description in RNAcentral is "sequence contains ITS2". The stretch from base 1 to 154 matches the Rfam family "5.8S ribosomal RNA". Lineage: Eukaryota; Fungi; Basidiomycota; Agaricomycetes; Agaricales; Cortinariaceae. The record is from RNAcentral.